CCUACGGGGGGCUGCAGUGGGGAAUAUUGGACAAUGGGCGAAAGCCUGAUCCAGCCAUGCCGCGUGUGUGAAGAAGGCCUUCGGGUUGUAAAGCACUUUCAGUGGAGAAGAAAGCCUUGGGGCUAAUACCCUCGAGGAAGGACAUCACCCACAGAAGAAGCACCGGCUAACUCCGUGCCAGCAGCCGCGGUAAUACGGAGGGUGCGAGCGUUAAUCGGAAUUACUGGGCGUAAAGCGCGCGUAGGCGGUCUGAUAAGCCGGUUGUGAAAGCCCCGGGCUCAACCUGGGAACGGCAUCCGGAACUGUCAGGCUAGAGUGCAGGAGAGGAAGGUAGAAUUCCCGGUGUAGCGGUGAAAUGCGUAGAGAUCGGGAGGAAUACCAGUGGCGAAGGCGGCCUUCUGGACUGACACUGACGCUGAGGUGCGAAAGCGUGGGUAGCAAACAGGAUUAGAUACCCCAGUAGUC
This 465-nucleotide ribosomal RNA is filed under the name Vreelandella stevensii. RNAcentral describes it as "partial 16S ribosomal RNA". It matches the Rfam family "Bacterial small subunit ribosomal RNA", at positions 338 to 795 of the family's 1533-position model. The record is from RNAcentral. Lineage: Bacteria; Pseudomonadati; Pseudomonadota; Gammaproteobacteria; Oceanospirillales; Halomonadaceae.